GGAGAGAGAGAGAGAGAGAGAGGUAUAAACCACAAGAGGGACAGAGACCAGCAAGAGGAACCCACCAUUUUUCUCUCUUUAUAUCUCUCUGUAUCCUUUCUCUCUCCACACGGCAACCCUUUUCAACUUGUGCUUGUGAUGUGUUAUUGCAGGAGAAGAGGGGAGAGAGAGAGAGAGAGGGAGGGAGGGAGAGGGAGAGGGAGAACCUUGAAUAGGGAAAACAAGAGGGCUGAGCAGAUUGGAGAUUUAUAGAGAGAGGAGAGAGAGAGUUUUGGAGGGUGUGAACUGACUAGGGAGGUGAAGUGUAAGGUCCAACUUGGGGGAAAGGGAAUGAUAUGGUCUGAAUACCCAAAAAUCACUUUUUUUGCAAACCUCUCUUUCUGCAUUUUAUUGAUCUGGAGUAUAUUACAUGUCCAUGUUUGACUAUACUUUAGCUUAGAAGCCGGCCUACCCGUGCAUGACCAAAUCACAAGAUAAUUUUUUCUUUAUUCUUGUGAUUGCUUGGUUAAGUGUCCCUCUCGAUCCCUCCAAAACAAUUGGGAGGGGCAGCAUCUAACUUGCUUUUCUUCUCGUUUCCGCCUACUAGAAGAAAAGGGAAAUCAGGAUUACUUUCUCUCCUUUGACCACGUACCUCACGAUGAAAGGCAUUUUUAGUCGGCGUGUAUAUUGUAAUAGAUGGAAUCAAUCGCGUUUGUGAAAACUUUUCUUGAUGGGCCACUUGUUAUCAUCGCUAUUUGGUUGGUUUGAUUAUAAAUUCUCACCAAUAAUGGGUGCUAAGGCCCAACGAGACAAUCAUGUUGUCGAGUUGCUAGAGGGUUGCAUUGAAUGUGUAUUUUCGUUAUACCUAGACCUUAGACCUUCAUGAUUGCAAUAUACUCACCGACUACAUUAUAUCCAAUGGCUUAGACUUGCCUAAGGACCAUGUAAUGCAUGCUUGCGCGCAUCACUCUGUGCAUCCACUACGUCUAAAUUGCUAAUUCUUGGGGGCAUCAAUCUGGUUCCUUAUUUCAAAAAAUUAAACUUGAUGAUUUUUGAUCUAGUUCCCGAUUUCAUGGGUGGAACUGUUCAUUUGGAUUGGAUUGAUUAUUUUAAAAUUUCUUAAAAAAUUAUAAAAACUAAUGGAAAGUUUAUGCUCAGAAGGAAAAAUAAACUUUAAAGAAGAUUAAGAAAUAAUGUGCUCGAAAGAAGGUGCAACUUCAAACUAGUAAUUUAGUCAAAAGCACUCAAGGCUUGUUAAUACAAGGAAAAAGGAAACACUUUUGCACUGUACCCCUUAAUUUUGUUUUGGCGUCACACUUAACCCCCUAAAUGGAAAGCAAAUAAUUGAUUGACCUACUAUUUGUGUAAGGGGUAAAAUAUGAUUUAACGAGAGAUUAUAAUACAAGAACACGCCAUCGGUUCUAUUGACCCACUCGGGAAUCGAAUUAGACUGGUUGGUCAGGUUCCGAGGGGCACUAGUUUGAUUCCCAAUUUCAAAAAUUGGAGAUCGGCUCUUCUGGUUUGUUUCUUGAUUUAUGGUUAGGGACUGGACUGCCCGAGAAUCAAUUUACCUCUAUAUGCACUUGUGUUUACAUUGUCUCCUUAGACCAAAUCUUUUAGGUCAAAAUCAUGUGUAUAAACAUAUAUUCCUCUUCAACUGCCUUUUAGGUGUCCGGAUCCCUUAAAAGUAUUUAUAAUCCGAUCACCGCAUCGUGUGCACGUCGUUCUGCUAAAAAAACCUAAUCGAUAAGCAUGAUCGGGGACCCCUUUCUGCGCAUGUCAUCGGCUCCCCAUGCCCGGCAAAUUAAUUGAGUCAAGAACUGAAAUGCAACCGAGGAAGAGGAAUCUAUUCCUUCUAAACACCAAGAACACGCGUAACAAGCGAUCCUCAGAAGGCGAUGCUUGACUUAUCGAGGAGGGAAUUCAGCUUAGGUUUGCAAAAAAAAAAGAGAGACGCACAGCACACGAUGAAGCGCAACUUUUCUCUGCACGCACCAGCGACCGUACGAUGACGAUAGAAGUUUCCCGAUCGUGGGCGUGCUUCGUAUCCGGAAACGGAUCGUUUUAAAGGUAGAUUCGAGCCCUAUGGGGUAGUGGGUCUUUGCAUAUUUGGCUGAAAACAACUCCUAAUUCUCACUUUCAUUCCUUCUCUUCUUUUUAAUAUUUUGUCGUAUCUUUUUCGUGGGGGACUAGAGGGUUCUGAUAAGAGGGUCAACCCGUGGGCUUUUUGACGGGCGUACCUACCCAUCUUCCACCACUGCUGCUACCAUGGACGGCACAUGCGGACCGUUUUAGGUUUCGGUGGGGGUGGCGCAAAAGUUGAUGCGCCGAGACCUGGGUCGUGAGCCUCUUUUUAACUACUCUUUCCCGUGGUUAAGCAAUUUCUCAUUGACUUGGGCGAGUUCGGGUUCGUGAACCUGCCAUUUCGACGGCUCGGGAAGGCCGGUCCCCAUCUAGAAAGCGUCCUAUACAUUGAACCUACGGAAUCAAAGCAAAAACAAGCGUCGAGACUUGAGUCAGAGGACCCGACAUGUUGACUUGGAGUCAUGAAAAAGCCGAGACCCCGUGGAACAUGCCUAACGCCGCAUGCACGAGUGCCAAUCCCUGGCGAGUCUUUCUUCCUUGUCACGAUCGAUUGAUCAUUAAAGAUUGAUGCAAUGCUUUCGGUCAGGGCUUUUGAUGCUGUUCAAGUCUGCUUCUUUCUUCCUUGUCCUUCUUCUUCUGAUUUGUUGCUUUUGUGGGUCAAGUACGUUUUCCUUGGGGACAUCGUGAAUCAUGGGACUUCAUGACUUGCAGUCCCAACAUGUGAACCACCACGCACUUGCACUGUCUCGUGGAUCGGGUCGUAGGGAACGCUACAGCUAAGAUCGGCAGUUGCGGGGAUCGAGUCGAUGAAGUCAGCUAUUUCAUUCGGCCAAUAGUCUCCCAAAACAAGGAAAAUACUAGACAAAACAUAGGCAUUUAAUGCUCCCCUCCUUAUGUUAUUUCCUCCCCUUACAUUAUAUUAUAAUAUAUUAUAUUAUAUUAUAUCAGGUGUAUCUUGUUCAUUAUUAUAUAAGUCACGGGGUGGGUUAGACAGCUAUUUCCAAUCCUCCGUGCGUCUUCCACCAGAAGCAAAGUCUUAAGUAAUUUCCGUUCAUCUCGCGUAACAUCAGUAGUUGUACCAAAUAUUUUUUGUGAAAUAAUUACUUCUAUCACUUGAAAAAAAUUGAUUGAUGAAAAGUACCUUCAUCAUUAGCAACUACUUACGCAUAAACAUUUUAAUGCUGAAGAUGAAAUUUUUUUUGCGUUAACUCGUUUUUGUAAGUGAUCAUGCGAUUACUUAAAGGAAAAAUUUAUUCAAAUCGUUAAUUACUCACGAAACAAGCACAUUAAUACUAAGGCAAGGUCAAAGGUUUGAGACUUUUCCUUACUCAUUUUUUUCAGCAUCGAUGGAAAAAAAAUUGCUUUUAAAGAUUCGAGAUGGGUCUAUGAUGACAACUUAUGAUAAAUAUAAGGAAAAAGAAAGGGGAAAGGACAGAUUAAGUGCAGACAGGAUGAAAUUAAUGCAUUAAAUUUCCCUACAUGGACCCCGAUUUUCUUUUUCUCCUAAGCUAAUUAGCACGACAUCAACGAUAAAUUAGAAGUCAACGAAGGUAUUCACACCAACUCGAUAACAGUGCAUCACACAUGCCCCAUUCGCCAUUACCUGGUCCGUCAUCUACAUAGAAAAACCUCUCACAUCCCUUUCGAAUUUAUGCACAUCAUCAUAUGCGUCACAGAACCUUGGACACACCUAAGAGAAAAAUAUAAAGUAUGAAUAAACGUCGUUUCAACGAGAUGCUUCAUCGAGUAGAAAGAUCUUGGAGCUUCUCUUAGGUUUUUUUUUUUGCCUUUUUUAUAUUGAUUUUGGGCACUAUCAGGAGCUCAAUCGUGCACCGUCUAACAACAGAACAAAUGCUGGUAGCUUUUAGAACAAGAACAGAGAAGACAAAGUUAGGUGCAUUUCGGGCUCAGGACCGAGGAUUUAUUUGGCUUUUAAAUCGGCUUUGAUGUCUAGGUUUUGUUUAAUAAUUCUCGCCUAAUACUUAUUAGCUAGAAGUCAGACAUUUUGGAAAGUUUGCACUCGACAAACUUAGCUCGUUGCAAAAUAAAUCAACUUAAAAAUGGGGAUCGGUGCAUCAAUAUUGAUUCAAUCUGAUUCAAGUGUUCCUGGGAGUACCCUGAGAAAUGUACCUUUCCUUCCACUACUGAACUAUUUUCACUACUAAGAGCAGCAACAAUGAGAAGGAAAAUGAUUCGACAGAGAAACUCUUGACAGCCAAGCUCCUUUAAGAGGUUAUCACGAAGAUCUCGCACCCGUUAAGUAAAGUUCGAUAUGAACCAUAAUUGCUCAAUUCACUCACAACAUGACAGUUCAGAAGGCAACAAGAUUGCUACUAUAGUCUUCAUGCCUAUCGACACAUCCGAAAUCAAGAAAUCUCUCUGCACAAACCAUGAUCUGAGAUAUAAGUCGGCUAAAGGUUUGUUCGCAAGAAGAUUGGACGUUACAACCUUGUCGAAGAUAUGCGAUUUUCUUUAGUCAUUAAGCCAUUCCACUUGAGGUCUUUUUCAGUUUUCACAUUUUUGGCAUUUUGCGACUUACCCUUUUUCGGGUGGAACGUGAAUGGGAGAGAAAAUGAUAGACGCUUUUAUUAGACCCUUCAAGCGUGUGAUUCUACGAUUCCUCCUCCUCCUCCUCCUCCUCCUCCUCCAACACCUAACAAUUAUUGCUGAUCUUUUCUCGACAAAACUGGCUUGCUGAUCUUUUCUCGACAAAACUGGCUUUCAUCGCCGUUAGAUGCGUUAGUUCGUGAAGUAGUGAAUGGUUACGCUCGUCCCUUUUUCCCCUCCGGAAGCCACCACCGGGCCUCAUCGGCCCUAGGCGCGGGCGUCCCUCAACUCAGAGGGUGGCUCUCGCCUAAGGUCUGCAGAAGAAAAAAGGGAAGAAAGAAAAAGAAAAAAAAAAUCAUAAAAUUAAAAAAAUUAUUUACAUUAGUAUCAGUCAUGCCAUGUGAGAUUGUUGACGUCGACUAGACUGUUACAUCAACGAUUUCUGAUUAAAAUUAAUCAAAAAAACUGAAAUGAUAAAUCUUUAUAAAAUUUAGGAUUAAAUUGAUUAAAUUAAUAAUUUAUCAAAAUAUUUAAAAUAAAUUAAUAUAACCAAAAAAUUUAAGGUUGAAUUGAUUAUUUCUUAGUUUGCGCAAAACUGAAAAAGUAGCGCAUCCCAAUUUCGUACUAUUCUUGUUUGAUGUAAUGAGUGCUUAAAAAGUACUUGUCAGAAUUUUCUAUUGGUUGAUGUACUUUUAUAUUACCUAAUUUUGAAAUGAAUUAGGAGGAGACUUUUGAUGAGAACACUACUUUUGCUUGUCUUAACAAUGAGAUAUCAGAAAAUAUCAAAGCCUCAUUUAAUACGCUGGGCCUCCACAGCUCGCAUGAUACACGGGAUAUGACAAAAGGACACGCAAAAAAAAAAAAAAAAAAAAAAGAGGAAGAAAGAAGAAAGAAGAAAGAAGAAGAAGCUCAAAGCCAAUGGUCAACUCCCUUCAAGAAUGACGCUUUUAUGAGGGCCUCCACAGCUAGCUUGCUAGAUAUCUUGGGAUGGUGGGUCCCAUGAAUGUAUUUUUUAUUUUGACAUAAUUCCUCCCGUAUAUUUGUCUUCCCCAAGACAAGAGAAUACUCUCUUGAUGUUGUACAUUCCAGAGAAUUCAAAGUUAAAAUUGGACCAAGAUGAAAUCUUUUAAGGACUUGCUUAUGUCUUCUAGCCUUAAUAAUGAGAUAUUUUAGAAUAUCAAGCUUCAAUUUAAUUUUGUGGGGCCUCCAUAGCUUGCAUGAUGCACAAGAUAUGACUCAAAAUGAUAGAAGAAGGAGGAAGAAGAAGGAAGAAGAAGCUCAAAGCCAAUGGUCAACUCCCUUCAAGAGUGUGGCUUUUUGAGGAGAAAUUGCCAAAAAAAUCCUAAAUAUAUUAUAUUUGUGUCGAUUGAGUCAUAAAUCUUAUAAUUUGAUCAAUUGAAUUUUAAAUCUUUUGACGAUUUAUUGAUGUAGUCCAUUUCCAAAAAUUACUGAUGUGGAUAACAACUGUUUUAUAUGAUACGCCAUAUACUAAUAUUGGCAUUUUUUUUUAUAGUUUUGAAAUAAUUUUUAAUUUUUUUUUUCUUUCCUUUUCUUUUUGCUACAAUGGCUAGCGACCGGCCAUUGGACUCUUGCCUGGCCAGAUCUAGCGAGAGGACCUUGGUAGGCCCUUGGCCUUGCCCAAGCGAGGCCACCCUCACUGGUCAUUAUUCGUGGCUAGUGGUAGGCGACUGGUUGUUGGCAAAAAGAAAAGAAAAAAAUUUAAAAAUUUUCGAAAAAAUUUUCUACCCUAAUGCUAGUUAUGUCAUGUAAGAUGGUUGGUAUUCAUGUUAGCGAUUUUUUGUCAAAAUAUACCGAAUGAACUUCAUUGAAAAAUUAUCAUCAAAAAAAUUUAUGAUUAAAUCGGCACAAAUGUAAUUUAGGCUUUUCUUCGUAAUUUCCCCAACUUUUGGAGGAGCCCUUGUGUCCAUUGAGCCAAUCCAAUACUCCAAGCUCCUCAAAACAGUAGUCUUAUCCAAUUUGAUAGAAUAGGGGUAAGUGGGAUUAUACAUACAUAAAUAGUUCUAUAUGUAGUCUUAUAUUAGCCCUUUUUCAUCUUAUCCAUAUAGUGUCAUAUAGACUCGACAUUUAGUGUACAAUAAUACUACUGAUAAUGCUCUCCUGUUUUGCAGUUUUGUAUAUUUGGUCACGUGUGGCAGACCCUUGUUAAACACGUUUCAAUAAGACGGAUGCAUAAGUUGAUGAUCCUAAAUCGAAAUCGACCGGUUAUAACCAGAAGGUCAAACAUAGAUGCAGCAUCUGUUCCGAACUUCAGUUACGCACGAUUGUGUCAAUUGAUCUCCGGUUAGCAUUUGUUCCUGUCUUCGGCUUUUGGCUGGAUCUACAAGAUAUUAUCUUCACCUAACUUUGACUUAUUAUAAAGAAUAUCAAAAGUUCGGAGUAUGACCCACACCAAAAUAAUCGAUAAUAGUCUCGAAUUUCUAGAUACGAAUUGACACGGAUUCACAUAAUAAUCAGUUUCGUUUGGCCAUUUACCAAAUCAUUUUGAUGGGUGAGUCUGUCAUGCCAAUGAGGCAUGGUACGCCUUGACGUUUUACAGUCGGAUCGAAAAGUGAUAAAUAUCACAAUCGUCCGAGGCUGAGAUCCUUUACAUUUACUCCGCGGUGAAAGAUUAUAAAGGCAUGAUAGCUCUUGGGGAUCAUAGAAUUAUUUCAUUUUGUUGGUCUGCACUGCACGGUAAAUCUUCCGCACUCCAUAUUUUCAGGAAAAUUAUCAAUUUUUUUAAAUCUAUUCAAUUUGUAUCAAUUUAGUUAUAAACCUUUCAAUUAUACCAAUUGAAUUUUAAACAUUUUAAAAAUUUAUCAAUAUAGUCCAUUAUAAUCCAUUAGGUCAGGUUUAGUUGGAAAUCACUAACGUGAAUGAUGACCCGUAUAAUGUGGCGCCAUUUGCGCUAAUGUGGAUAAUCUUUACAAAUUUUUAACAUUUUUCAGUUUUUUAUUUUAUUUUUUUCUUUCUUUUCUUUCUUUCUUUUUUUUCUUUUUUAAUAACUUUGGGUCAAUGAGUUCAUUGGUGGACCCUUAUCGGCCAUAGGCAAGGUCUCGGCAAGGACCUCCGCACCUCGGGCAACGGGCGAGGGCCUCCACACCCUUGCCAAGCACAAGUAAGGGUGUUGAGCCCUCACCUAGAUCUAGCAAAGGGCCAUGACCCUCGCCUAUUGCCCUCAAUGCUCCCUAUUGGAUUUGGGGGAGAACCUAACACCCCUGCUUGUUGUCCUCGUAGCCCUUUGCUAGAUUUGGCCGAGGGCUCGACACCCUCGCUUGUGGCCAACAAGGGCCCGGCUGACUGGCUAUGGCCAAUGGGGGAGUUGGGAAAGAACAAAGAAAGCAAAGGAAAGAAAAGAAGAAACCAAAAAUUAGUAAAAAUUUAUAAAAGUAAAAAGAAAUUAUAAAGAUUGUCUACGUCAGCCCUAGUCAUGCCACGUAGGGCAACUAAUGUCCAUGUUAGCAAUUUUCGAUUAAAAUUGGUUGGAUAGACUAAAUUAGCAAAUCGUCAAAAGUUUUAGAACUAAACCAGCAUAAUUAAAAGGUUUAGAGUUGAAUAGACACAAACGCAUUAGGUUUGAGAUUUUUUUGGUAGUUUUUCCCCAUAUUUUCAAUCAUAAAUGAUUUCACAAACUUUGAAUCUCGCUUUUUAGAGAAUUUACUUUAAGCUAAAUUAGUCUUUCUUCAGGCAAAUAUAUCUAUGCAUGUAUCGUUGCCAUUAAGCUGACUUUUCUAAUUAUUUGGUCCGGUGAUGCUAGUCCAGCUUGGCGAACUUAUCAACUUAUAUAGAAUUUAUUUGGGAUAAGUCUUUGGAUUCUACCCCCAUUAUCUUUUCUUUGUUUUCUAAAUGAUGAUCCCACAUUUUUUGUUCUCACAUGCCAUAACAUUUACAGAUGCUGUCUCUUAUAAUCUCAUGGGGCGAUGCAAGCAGAUGAAUUCAGGAGGCAAAGAACUUCAGGAAAAAAGCCAAGACGAUAACGCCUUAAGAAGUGCGAGCAUGUGCUUAAGUGAGCUCCGAUAUGGUGUGUGGCGAGCCAACGGCGAUGCCGGCGGGCGUGAGAUGAUCACGUGAACUUGACCGGACAUUGUCGCGUCUGAAUCUUUGAAAAAAAAUGCUCCAUUCCUAAUUGUUUAUGCGUUCACGUCUCGCAACCAUGUCGCAAAACCGAUGCAGUAGACGACUGCCCGCUCUUACCAAACUCUCUGGCGUACAUCAAGCUCCAGUCCGGACUUUGCCAUCUGGGGAAGCAAAGAAGCGAAGACGGGAGUAAUAUGCUCAGGCAGGCUGACCGCGGAGAUGAUGUUUAGGUCAACCCAGUUACCAGAAAUUUAGGGUUGUUCGACAUGUGACAGAAAGAGGGAGAGUUCCUAACAAACACAUGUAUUCUUGAUUUUAGUAUUCGAAAAAAAUUACUUCAUUUCAAGCGCAGACAUCACCAAAAUCUUCUGAUCUGUAAUCUAUUUAGUUAAUAGAGAAUUAGCUUUCAGGCAUUCUUGGAGGUCAUAGCUCUCUGGCCAGUCACCCCUUUCCAUUUCAUGAGUAAAAGAGGACGGGAAUGAGCGAUCGGCACUAAGAAGACCACCUUCGGACGUUACCAUAAAGGGUUUCACAUCCGUCGUGGAACGUUCAAUCUGAGCCGAUCAUUUGGCAUCAUACGGCAUUAGUUCAAGAAUUCAAUUAUACCAAAUGAAGUCGAGUUUGCAAAUCCUUUCCGGGCAUAAUAAGUCACAAGUAAUGAAUGUUGUGCAUCACGAUUUCAAUAAUAAGGGUGGAUGUAUUCAUUAGCAGAUGGACAGGAGCAUCAAAGUCAAUGGUCGAACGGAUGAGCUUGCAAGUAUCUGCUCCAUAUCGCAUUUGUCUCCUGAAGGCGACUUAAAUUUCAAGUGACAAAAUAACCAUUGACUUUCAUGGUCUGUUGAUCUGUGUCAUUUUAAUACCUUAGAUUUUGGCUGAUGGUCCCCCAACGCCCUCACGAAAAUACGCUGGUCUACAGUAGAGUAGGGAGAAAAACGUGGAAGCAUAUGGAGAUCUUUGACUUAGAAAAGAAAGGAUAAGAGCAUGACGUUUUCGGUUCAAAUGCAACUCCCUUUUUUUUCGAUACGUCUCCUAUUUUGUCGGGAGAUGGAUGGAGGGUCACAUGCAUCAUUAGAAAAAAAAAAUUGAGAUUCCGGUGGUCGUCCGUCGAUUGAAAAAUAAGGGUAUUUAGGAGCAAUCAUAGAUGUUAGCGUGUUGCACUCAGCUGUAUAUUAGCUAAAUAAUGUAUUUUGAGAGUAAGUUGGAUUAGAGAUAAUGCGUUAUUAAGGUAUAUAAUUCAUUCCCUAAUGCAUACUUGGCCAAUAUUUCCCUAAUUUUUAAGAGGUUAGGUAGCAACGUUGUUGCACGUACUUAGCAAUAAUCACCUGAAUAUAUUACUGCCCGCAUGCCUAAGGCAGAUGAGAGACUCAGUCAGGACGAGGACUUUUUUUGGCUGAUGCUAUGGGAAGAAUUGAAAUCGAUGAGAUGCCUCGACAGCAAAACUAUCAAGUGCAAUAGGAGUUGGCAUUUCGGCUUUCUCGUGCGAAACUAUUGGCGGGAGAUUAUGAACUUAGUGGGAGAACGACGAUGCAUACGCAAGGAAUGUUGCAAACACUUCCUUGCAAAAACGUGUGCAAGAGAGGUGAACUGAGAUGUUCGGCCCCACUACAGCGAAACUAAUUGCGCGGACCGGAACAUGGUAUUAGUCAUGCGAACAAUUUUCUUCUUCUCUUUUCGGGUUUUGCCAGAAAUGGAAAGCCGUGAAGUUUGGUUUGAUGCACAUCACAUCUUGAAUUGAGUCCUGAAGUAACUUGAGCCUUGAGCAAUUCCCUAUUCUGCUUUGAUUGUGCAGAAACAAAAUUUUCAACGAGUUUGCUGAAACUUGCAAGUUUCUUUUCUCACCUCUGGCCUUGAUAAACAUCUGUACCUAAUUUUCUGAUAUGCUUUUUCCUCAUCAAUAGCGGUCUUGUUCAACCAUUUCAUGCUGAACCAAAGAAAGGCGUACUUAUUCAGGUAACCUGUAGCCCUUUCGCAAGCUGCUUUUUUCCUGAGAAGACUACAGUUAAAAGAUUAGUAGUAUCAUUCAGUGGAAGAAAAGGAAGAACCUCGAGUUACUUUCGGUGAAAGAGGAGAAUAAUCAACUUCCAUAACUUUCGUGCGUUGCAUUUAGACGCUCAGAGGAAGGUUACAUCUGAUGGCGACGUUGUUUUGGAAUCAUGAGGACUUCAGGAGCAAACUUUAUCAGAUCAGGAAUUAUUCAUCUGGGGAGGAUUUAUGGCCACGAUCGAAAUUGGCAUGUUGGCUUGGAGGUAUCUUUUAUGUUUGUCUCUGAGAUUACACUUCGUUCAGGGCAAAAGGAAGAAUAAAAAGGAAAAAGAAGAUAUAUUCUCUAAUCCUGUGGCAGUCGUUGCGCUAUCUCAAAAACCGCGAGUUUGCAUUUCAAAUGUUCUAGUCAGUGAACAGGGCGAUCUUAUCCGAUGAUUAAAGCGGAUAGAAUUUUCUCUUGUUGCCGUGUGCAAGAAACAAAGGGCGCCCGUUUGUUUGUGUUUUUUUUUUUUUUGUUUAUAAACACAAUUCCUAUUUUUUUUUGUUUCGAGGAACAAAAAAUGAACAGAAACGCGUUUGUUUGCGUUUUUGUUCCAAAUAUAUUUUUUUGUUUAGGGGAACAAAUUCGGAACAGAAACAAGAAACAAGAAAAACUUGUUUUUUGUUUCUAAAAACUUGUAAGAAAUAAUUUUUCUCUCUCCUAUUUUUUUCUUUUCUUAUUCUUUUUUCUUUGGCCGGUCGCUGGCCUCGGCCAUGGCCGGCGAUUGACCGUCGAGGGUCAGCGACCUCGCUAGAGCGUCGCUAGCCCCUGGUGAGGCUCAACCUCACCUUGGCUGGGCAAGCUCGACCUCGCUGGGGGCCGGCAAGCCUCGCCGUGGCUAGGCGAGGCCACCGGCCCUUGUCAGCCGGUUGCCGGCCAUGGCUGAGGUCGGCGACCGGCUAAAAGAAAGAAAAAAAAAAGAACAUAAAUUUACCAAAUAUGUUUCUGUUCUUUUUUUUAUUCUAAAAACAAGUUUACCAAACGCGUUCUUCUAGUCAAAAAUUGUUCCUCGGAACAGAAAUUGUUUUUCUAUUUCUAUUCCCUAUAACAAUUUUUAAACAUAAACAUUAGCAAACGCACCCAAAGUUUCGGCUUUUGAGUUUAUUUGGCAAUGAGAUAUGCAUUACUUGUCUAAACACGCAGCUUCUUGAUAUCACACAUUCUGAUGGAAUGUAAUUCUGCAUCGAACGAUUUUAUUAACUCGUUGUACAAGUUGCCUUUUAACUUAGAUAAUCUUCUAAUGGGUUCAGCGGAAAUCACAAAGAUAGACCGGAGAAAGCUUUUUAACCUCGAAGUGUAUGUGAGAGAACAUGAAUUGGAUUUUCCUUUGAUCGACACAGAAGCAGUCACUAUUAUCAGUGUCGCGGUUGCAUAAAAUGCGCCAAUUGCUCGGCAAUGAAUGAAAUUCAUUAGACUUUUUAGCCUUAUGUGGUUGGACAAUGAAGCCUGGUUGUCUUGGUUCAUCCAUGUGGUUCUCUUUUUGUUCUUGUUCUCUUUUGCUUCACUGUCCACAGAGACAGGACAGGCUAGUGAAGCCCUCAGGCCACACGGCAUCGUUCACUUGGUUUUACUGAGUCAAUAGCCCCUGAGCUCAAGGGCACGAAUACCGAAAAAAGAAGAAAAAAGAAGAAGAAGAAGCUCUUUUUGUUUGCAAAUGUAUGUGGCAGGACAUGACUCGAGUCGGAUCUCUCUCGAGAUUGGGGACGACAUGUUUUUUUUUGUACUUCCAGAAGCAUGUGGGCGAGAAGUGCUUGGGCCAUCCCGGUGAGAAUCCCCUAUUCCCCAGGGCCAGAAUCCAUUAGAAGCCCAGCAGAACUGAAAGGGCAUGCACUGAGGGAAAAAAAAAGAAAAAAAAAAGAGGCGGUUCAACUGUGAAUGAUACAGUAGGAGAAACAGCCAACAAAUGAAAAGAUGACGGUAAAUUCGAGCAUCAAAAUUGCGACGAACUUGUAAGAGAUUGUGCCAACAAAGGCAUGAGGUGGAGACAAUCCAAGUUGUAGUUAACUAUUUGCAUAAUUUAGUUAUCAAUUUUUUCCAAUGAUAAACCUAUAUAGAUAUGCUUCACAAUAGUUCCGUUUUGAAAAAUUUCUACAGAUCCCAAGGUUUUUUGCGACUCUUAUUAGGAACCCUUUCCUUCAAUAUGAUAAACCAAAUGCCUUGGCAAUCUUCUCACUGUAUAGAAACAGAGAAUCCCCUUUUUCCUCUUCUUCUACUUUGAGCAAAAUCAGGUUCAUGUUAGCCAUGUGCCCUGAUGAUCUCAGCCUCCUGAGAGAUCUUACCUGCCAUCGCUCUGAUUUCUUCAUGCAUUUGGCGGGAACCAUCUCUAACAAAGAAUUCAAAAACUUAAGCAUCAACUGCAAGAACCGGAGCUUUCUCUAUGCCUGUUAAACUUCAUUUCCAGCCCUACAUUGCUUACUCUUUCCUGGCUUUCGAUGUCGAGGUAGACAUUAGGCAAGAGGACGGGUAACCACCACGAUUCUUUGCUUCGAGAUCCAGCAACUUUCCCGAGGUAAUUCUGUCUCCGUUGGCAAUUUGGCUUGUUGUUGAUGAGAUUUGAGGCUUCAUUUGAUGGCCAGCUUGGCCCAACAUAUCAACCAUGACCUCCAGCGCCCGAGCUUGGGGCAGAUUCCAUAUGAGGCGACUCAGAGAUCAGGUCAAAAUGCUUCCGCCCUCCCUCAACCAGUCCAACAGCACUGAAACCUCUCAAUACCAAAGCGAAGGUUGCUUUGCUCGGGAUAUCCGCGUCUUUCUCCUUGAGCAAGAAAAGGUGGAGAUGCGCCCUACCUGCUCCAUCCAUGGCUAAUCCAUUCUCGGCACCUACUCCACAUGUACAUUUUCUUUCAUCCCGUAGGAGACCUCCAUGGCCUUUAUCCGUAACCCUGCCUUUUGCAAACGUUUAAAUCCCAAGCAUCACCGUAAACCUUAUCCAACUGAGUAGACACGGGGAAAAACUGAAAUGAUCGAAGACUUGGUUGACUUUCGCACCUUCCGUUUGCUGUUCGGGGAACAAAUCCGAGGCCUGCUUUGACUCCCAACACUGGGUGUACCCAGCAAUCGUUGCAAUGGGUAUGUCUCUCAGGCAUUUCACUGAGCUUCGUCAAGGCGACAUCACGCCAUUUCACGCAAAAGCCCACCAUAGCCAUUUUGACACACCACAUCGGGAUCAAGAAUCCCUCCAAACGCCGUUCGACGAGGAUCUAUAGAGCACAGACUACUGAGUCCAGAUACAUGAUAACUUACCACCGUUUCGAAUAUGCAGGUCACUCCAGAAACGGGUUUGGUAAGCAUUCCAUUGACCAAUUCCCUAGCCUCACUCUCUCCACCGUAAGCUGCUUGCAGGCACAAAUGAAGAAAUCGGAAGCAACGCAACACCACGUGGAAGCCAGUGGUAAAAGUGAGCUUUUUUCUAGGGUCGAGAUAUGGGAAGCACUCUGGAAUUUAAGCUAUGAACAGGGUCAGGUUCUCACAUCUCUAAUUGGAAUGCCUAUGGUUUUGAGGUAAAAAAGGCAUCAAUUAUUAUUUGCCUAGCAUUCGCAGCAAAUCACAUGCCAAGCGUAUCCAUUUUAAAUUCAAAUUCCGCCACAGGACAAAACUGCACUUCUUUCUAUUACGAAAAUUGCAUACAUAAUGAUUAUCACAUGCAGACAUUCUAAAAGAAAGAAUCUGAUCAGACUAGCUUAAUCAGUAGUGAAGCCUCAUUCACACAGCAUAUGGCAGCAUGAAUUGUUACCGAGAGAUGAUGAAAGGUUAAACUGCGAUUCUUAUUAAUUUCCUAGCGGUACAUUCACUUUAGCAAACUUCUGAGUAAAUGGGCACGACAAAUGCCAUAAGCAUAAGAAAAAUCCCAUUCGAUCAUCAAAGGCUUUAAAUACAACAAAUUAAAAAGGUUUCAAAACAGCACAAAUGAGGAUAGGAAACUCUAAAGUUCAUGGUAAAUCCAUAUUAGCUGAACCAACCAAUCCCCCAGCAGAUUCAGCCUCCCUGCGCUCACGAAAACAUGACCCCGACUUUCUUUGCGAAGUCAUCUCCGUCUUCAUCAUCCAGAUAUUCCUCCUCUUCCCCAUCCCCUUCAGCAUUUUCACCUUCUUCAUAGUUGUAGUCUCCUUCGUCACCUUGUUCAUAAUAGUCCCCGUCCCUUUGAUCAUCAGCUCCGAGCUCAGGGUCUUCCGUUGCAUCUUCGACGAUCAUUCCGUCUUCAUUCUCAAUCUCUCCAUGAACAGCACUGCUGGCUCCUUCAGUGUGAUCUUUGUUACUACCAACAGCAUCAGCUGUGCCAGAUUUGGAUUUAUAGCUGUCUUCCUCUUCCUUGGGAUGAAUUGUGAGAUCGCCAUGCUUCUGGGAGUUCACCUCGUGACUAUGCUCUUCCUUGCUUGCAGAUGAUCUGGACCCAGAACCUGUACCUUCAGGUUCUCUCUUCCUCUUCAAAAGCACACUAAGGGGCUUUGGCCCCUCGAAAGAGACAUCUCCCAAUGGUUGGUCCAGCGAACAAUUCUGCUGCUUUCCCAUGGAAGGUGAUGAUUCUUGACCACGUCCCAGGCCUUUCAACUCUGCAAGACUUUUCGGACCCACAAAAUUGAUACUCUUUUCAUCUACUGAUUCCCUUCUCAUCCGAGGGCCUUGAAAAUUCCUUGCCUCCACGUUGUAAUCAUCCUGUGCCCUGCCCUUUAGUCUAUCUCUAAGCCUAUUAACACCUUGAUAUGAUCUCCCCGGGUUCCUUCCUGUCUCCGUCUCCCUAUCUGAGUUGACAUCCCCCCCAUUGAGUCUCCCCGGAAACUUUAUCCUACCCUUAAGACGGCUGCUACCUUGGCCCUCAUGCGAAGAUGAGUGCUGUGAAUCCCUCCGAGAAGACCCGCGAUAAGUUCUAUCAGCAACAUGGCUGUCAGGGACAACAACUGACCUCAAACCAUUGACCCUCCUGUGCUUUGACAAUCGGUGACGCAGAUCAGAAUCAUCUGCAUGCUCAGGGCUGUCGCUCUUUGGGUAUGCCCUCCUAUCUCGAAGAAUGGGCCCACCAAGAAUAAGAUCAGAUGAAUCCUGCCGCUGAUCCCAACCGUACCUGCGAUCAAAAGAGUCAUAUGCACGUGGAUCACGGAACAUCUCAUGCUCAAUAUCCGCACUAUAAUCUCCAGGGCGAUCCAAGUCAUAAUCAGUCACAGAGCCUAUGUUCCGUCCUUCAUGGGUUCUUCCUCUUCCAAAUUGAUCAUCAUUGUGAUAAUAAUCAGACUCUCCGAGCUCAUCAUCCACAAGAACAUCAAAACCAGGAGAGGACUCCCUGAGAUAUUCAUCAGCCUCCUUGUCUUUGUGUGAGCUAUGGUAGUCGUCUGCAACAACAGGCUGAUGCAAUCGACUAGUCCUGUUCUGCAAGUUUCCAUUUACAGUAGGGGUGCUUGAAGGCCUAUAUCUAGAGGCACCUUCAUCGAUGAUUCUGGGGGGAGGCAGUGAUGGUGGUGCACUUUUUUCUAUGCUUACCUCAUUUCUCGGUAUAGCAUUUUCAACUUUUGGAAAGGGCUUUAACUCAGAUGGUCGAGAUGUUAGUUUAGAGGCGUUUGGUGGGACCUUCUGCCCUUGAGAACAUUUCUCUAGGCUGCCAAAAGGUUUCUUUACCGUAGAAGAAUCAUUAACAGGCGAUGAUGCCGGUGCCUGCUGCACUUUGCUAACCACAGUGUUUGUUCCAUGCAGGAAGGCACAUCUGUCGCCUUUCAAGCAAAUUCCCUUCUGGAAAAAUACACAGGGUACUGGUUGUUUUCCAGAAUUGUAAGAAGCCUGUGCCACAGGUGGCAUUGCGGGUGGCAUUGCCGGUGGCAUUGCUGGUGGCUGCACUGGCAAAGAAGAUCCACCCGGCACUGCAGCUGGCGCUCCCAAUAAGCCAUCAAGGGGCUAAAAAAAAAAUUGUACACAGCAUUAAUAUCACAAGUAACAUUCUAAAUAGUUAAAGACUACUGUAUUUAGAGACUGAGAAACAGUAACUUGAAAGAGAAAUCUAAGACUUUAAAAAACAGCACAAAUCGGGCAAGGAAGGAAAACUUACAGGAUGACGGAAAGCACACUUUGGAUUCAAGCAACUGCCAUUCAACCAAUACCAGCAAUCUCUGGGAUUAACCCUGGCAUAUUCACUGUGGCGGUACUCACAUUCACUUCCCUUUAACAAGGACAAUCAGCCAAUAAAUAUACAAGUAACUCACAUAAAUACACAAUCGAUAAGAGGAAGCCACUAAUUACAGUAUAUCAUUAAUUACGUUCAAGCAAGACGCACAACCCCUUUGCAAACUCGGGUAAGCCUUGCUAAGCUUCUAGUCACAAGAGCAAUUGCAAUCAGCAACACUAGAGUAUGACGAACAAUAUGUGCGGCAAGGAAGAUUCAAAAGUGGAAAACCUAUUGAGGGAUGGAUCAGGGAUUAUUUCCUCCCGAAAUUCAUAUCUAACAACUAUUAAUUGUCGGUUGAGACAACUGCCAUUUGUCGAAUCGCAUAUGAGACGUACGAGUACAACAGAUAUACCACAGGCAGCAACAGAAUCAUAACUGAUAGGGGAAAAUAUCACACUGGCACGUGCUUGCCGCUCUCUUAACGUUACGACUAGGAACUUCCAAAUCAUGCAUGUCCAAAAGAAAUAUUCUCCUCCACAUUAGGCAAACAGCACCAUCUCGCCCAUGCUUCUCCAGGCCUAAACACGUUAAGACUACGGAAGGCAGCUGAGACUCGAGCUCAUUCCGCCAUUACAAGAACCUUUAUUAUCUAGUCCGAUCAAAAAACACUGAACCGAAACAGAUAAACGACGAACUCACCCACAGAACAAGCAAAGUCGGCAUCUUUAUGACCAAAACCCAUUACCCAUUACCCAAAACCCCGCGUAGAGAUAAUUCCCCUAUUUUUUCAAGAAAACGAAGCACCAAAGGUUUCACUCGAGCUCACCCAAGAGGUGCUCAGGCGAACAAAACCCGACGGAACCCAAUUCAACAACCAGAAACCCUAACAAGAUCCCAAUUCAUAAACCGCCGCCCGCAAGGGUUUCAGGCGACCACACCCUACCCCUAACUCCGGGAGACGAGAGAUGAAAGAGACCAAAGAACCACGACCCCCGGAGCUGGAAAAGGGCGUAAUCUUUUUGCACCCGAACCCUAACGAGAUAAAUCAGAAAAAGAAAUCGAUAGAGAGAGACAGAGAGGGGGGACACGCACAGAAAAAAAGGGCAAACCUUUUUGCAGGUCAAAGGAGAGGCGAGGAAAUAGACGCAAUCGGUGUUCCGCUUGAGGGCCUCCUCCUCGGCGGAGGCGGCGGAGGCAUGGGAGGGCUGGUUCGUCGCGUCGCGCGUACCAGGGACCAUGGCGGUCUCUCGACCCGAAAAAAAAAGGGACCCCACCACCCCCCGCGAGCGCAGAAGAAUCGAUCGAGAACGAUCCCCCUCACCGUCCCAGAUCCGACUGAACCAACAGAUAUGGAGAGAGAGAGAGAGAGAGAGAGAGAGAGAGAGGGGGAGAGAGAUCUAAUCUGACAGAAGAAGAGGGGAGGGGGGGAAUGGGCAGAGCCGCCUCGAAGAGAGAGAGCGAGAAAGAGAGAGGGGCGAGGGAUAGAGGAGAGGGAGAGGGAGGGAGAGCGAGAGAGAGAGAGAGAGAGAGAGACGGAGAGAGACGGGGAGAGGGAGCGACAGAGCGAUGAACGAGUGUGUGAGAAUCC
Molecule: long non-coding RNA, 18384 nt
Filed under: Eucalyptus grandis
Lineage: Eukaryota; Viridiplantae; Streptophyta; Magnoliopsida; Myrtales; Myrtaceae
Description: long non-coding RNA (EGRA_LNC004416)
Source: RNAcentral